GGACUACCGGGGUAUCUAAUCCUGUUUGAUCCCCACGCUUUCGUGCCUCAGUGUCAAUAUUCGUGUAGCCAGCUGCCUUCGCAAUUGGUGUUCUAUGUCAUAUCUAAGCAUUUCACCGCUACAUGACAUAUUCCGCUGACCUCCACGGUAUUCAAGACUGAUAGUAUCAAUGGCAGUUCCCAAGUUAAGCUCGGGGAUUUCACCACUGACUUACCAACCCACCUACGCACCCUUUAAACCCAGUAAUUCCGGAUAACGCUCGCACCCUCCGUAUUACCGCGGCGGCUGGCACG
RNAcentral lists this unclassified non-coding RNA (293 nucleotides) under uncultured Chitinophagaceae bacterium. Its description in RNAcentral is "contains 16S-23S intergenic spacer region". The record is from RNAcentral. Lineage: Bacteria; Pseudomonadati; Bacteroidota; Chitinophagia; Chitinophagales; Chitinophagaceae.